GAUGAACGCUGGCGGCGUGCCUAAUACAUGCAAGUAGAACGCUGAAGGAAGGAGCUUGCUCUUUCCGGAUGAGUUGCGAACGGGUGAGUAACGCGUAGGUAACCUGCCUGGUAGCGGGGGAUAACUAUUGGAAACGAUAGCUAAUACCGCAUAACAGUAGAUGUUGCAUGACAACUAUUUGAAAGGGGCAAUUGCUCCACUACCAGAUGGACCUGCGUUGUAUUAGCUAGUUGGUGAGGUAACGGCUCACCAAGGCGACGAUACAUAGCCGACCUGAGAGGGUGAUCGGCCACACUGGGACUGAGACACGGCCCAGACUCCUACGGGAGGCAGCAGUAGGGAAUCUUCGGCAAUGGACGGAAGUCGGACCGAGCAACGCCGCGUGAGUGAAGAAGGUUGUCGGAUCGUAAAGCUCUGUUGUAAGAGAAGAACGAGUGUGAGAGUGGAAAGUUCACACUGUGACGGUAUCUUACCAGAAAGAGACGGCUAACUACGUG
RNAcentral lists this ribosomal RNA (497 nucleotides) under uncultured bacterium. RNAcentral's name for it is "partial 16S ribosomal RNA". It matches the Rfam family "Bacterial small subunit ribosomal RNA", at positions 28 to 507 of the family's 1533-position model. The record is from RNAcentral.